This 497-nucleotide ribosomal RNA is filed under the name uncultured bacterium. RNAcentral describes it as "partial 16S ribosomal RNA". It matches the Rfam family "Bacterial small subunit ribosomal RNA", at positions 28 to 507 of the family's 1533-position model. The record is from RNAcentral.
GAUGAACGCUGGCGGCGUGCCUAAUACAUGCAAGUCGAGCGAACAGACGAGGAGCUUGCUCCUCUGACGUUAGCGGAGGACGGGUGAGUAACACGUGUAUAACCUACCUAUAAGACUGGGAUCACUUCGGGAAACCGGAGCAAAUACCGUAUAAUAUAUUGAACCGUAGGGGUGAAUAGUGAAAUUCGGUUUUUGUGGAUCUUAUAGCGGGAUACGGGCCGGUUUAGGUAGUUGGUGAGUUAACGGCCUAUCAAGGCAACUAUGCGUAGCCGAACGGAGAGGGUGAUCGGCCACACUGGAACUGAGACACGGUCCAGACUCCUACGGGAGGCAGCAGUAGGGAAUCUUCCGCAAUGGGCGAAAGCCUGACGGAGCAACGCCGCGUGAGUGAUGAAGGUCUUCGGAUCGUAAAACUCUGUUAUUAGGGAAGAACAACUGUGUAAGUAAAUAUGCACGUCUUGACGGUACCUAAUAAGAAAGCAACGGCUAACUACGUG